ACUUUUUUUUUUUUUUUUUUUUGCUCUAAGUCCUACUUGCUGCACCUUUUCUUCCAUGUGUUCAAAUAACUGAAAUUUAAGAGCCUAAUUGGCUUGUUAUUUUCUGAAGUUUUAAUAAAAAAAUAUAUUGUAAAGAUUCAAUAUAUAUAAGAUAAAAAUGUGAUUAAAAAAUAUUUAUAUAAAAUAUAGCUCUAUUUGAAUUCCUCAAUUUUUAAAAAACAAGUUUUUAUAUACAAUAUUAUAGUAAUACACAAACGAAAACAAUUUCAAAAAUGCCACAUUCAAAAAAAAUUUACAAGAUAAAAAUGUGAUUAAAAAAUAUUUAUAUAAAAUCUAGCUCUAUUUGAAUUCCUCAAUUUUUAAAAAACAAGUUUUUUAUAUACAAUAUUAUAGUAAUACACAAACGAAAACAAUUUCAAAAAUGCCACAUUCAAAAAAAAUUUACAGUAAAAUUUUUUUAUAUACACAACUACAGCAAAAUUUUUGAAAAACACACUAAAAAACAACUAAUUCAAAUAGAGUCAAAAUUUUUUGGAGAGAAACUGCAAUUCAUUUUUAAGGAAAAUAAAGCCUCUAUUUGGAUAGGAGAUUAUUUGAAAUAAUAAUUGUAACAAUUUUUGUAUAUGUGAGAUAAGAAGGUGUGUUGAAAAUUAUGUUUGUGAUGCAAGCAAAUAAUUUUUUGACUAUCCACAUCCUAAUCAAAAUUUAAAUUAAAUCUGAAUAAAAAUUUAGAUUAAACAAAACGUGACAAUCUGGAAGCACUUUAUGCUGGGGAUAAUGUACAAAAGCUCAAAAAUUGUUUUAAUCAAUGAUUAAAUUGAAAAGAUGAAUAUAUUUUUAAUUUGGCCCAGAUGGUGUCUAAUAAUUGAUUUUUUUUUUGUUUUUUAUCAAGGCGAUAGGAUUUUCAUUAACUAUCACAUCAAAGUAUGCAAAGUGAGUAAAGGAUCGAUAUCACUUUACAACUCAUGCAUUUCGCAUGAGUAGUUGGGAUAUACCCAUUCCUUGUCAUAAUGAUUGCCCGAUGCUUGAGCUGCUACAUCAAAACGAGGAUCACUCUUUUCCUAUUCCUAGUUGCCAAAAGCAGUACAUACAAAACAAUUUACUUAUAGCCUGCCCGAGUAUCCUCAAUGAUUGUACCAAUCCAGUUGUUUCAUGUAGCAAUUGCAGCAACUCCAUGUUUGCUAUUUCGAUUUCUAUGGCUGACUUUUGGCAAAAGAUGGCUGUCUACAGAUUAGAUUGCUGAUAUAAAAAAAAAAAAAAAAAAUUUUUUACCGAAAAGAAUGAGGAGUACGGCAAGCAAAAUGCUUUCAAAUUUUACCAAAAAGAUCUUUAUGACUCGAUCAGAGGACGGUAGACUCAUUUAAAUAAUGAACAGAUUUUGUGAACUUCUAGUCUUGGCAUAGUCUUUGGUUAGGAUACUGGUUUAUGGAUGAAAUACCCAUAAAUGCAAGUCCUCAAUUUCGGCCCUAAUAUCUGGCACGGGAACUCAAUUUCCCCAACCCCGCCGCCCCGCCCCCUCUCCCCCACCCAAAAACAAGAAAAAGGAUUAAAAUUCUUAAAGACAAAAAAGAAAACGAUUUCCAUCUUCGCUAAAUUCGCUUAUGUAAGUGGAGUAGAAUUCUCAUCAUUUAAUAAGCAACCCCAACAAACACCACUCCCCGGCCCCAAAAAAAUAAAAUAAACAAAAGAUUAAUUUGACAGAUUCUUGUCUUAGGAGUGUUUGGCUUGCCGGUAAAAUUGAAAUUUGGGAUGCUGACAAAUUUUGGAGUAUCUCUUCAGUAUUGUCCUACUGGUAAUCGUGUGAUGGGACUGCCCGAGGACGAUACAGUAUGUAUUCUAGCAAAGACGACAACCAGUUAAAAACCAAAGAAAUGAGUCUGAAUUCUGCGGCGGCUAAGCUUUUCCAAUUCCUGAAGCAGCCUAAAACGGGUCUUCAGUCAACAGAUGGCCGAGGGGCAAAAUAUUUAGCAUGUUCGGAUUCUUGGCAUUACUACAUCAUGCGAGCUGGUAAAAUUUAGAACUUUGCGUCUUCUUCUUGGUUUGUUUUUGGAUGAGAACUCCAAAUAUGAUGGAUGGUUCAGCUUUCUCUUCUGCUUCUCCAAGGUUCUAACUACCUAAUAUGUUACAUUAUUGUGACCAUAAAAUUCUAUUGGCUAUUACUAACGAACGCUUGAAAUAGAUCGACAGUAGUACAUUCAUUCUAGAUUAUAUCAUAUAAACUUAUUAACCUAAGAUGGAAUUGCGAAUGUUUCUUACUCAAAAUCACCAAGUUGUGUAGAGCAAGAAUGCAUUUCCGCCAAUGUAGUUGGAUAUUAGGGCCCUUCCAGCAGAGGUUGGUUGAGAAAAUGCCAAAUCGGUACGAUUCAGAUUUCGGCCGCUGCAGAAGCUGCCCCUGCAUUUGUGGAAAAAUAAACAAAUAAAUAAACAUCGACGUGGCAUCGGAGAAGACCGUCGAUUCCUUUUCUUUAGGGAGAGAAUAACUGAUCCGACGAGAGGGAUAGUGACAGUAGUACAUCCCCUUGCGUCAACUCCGGCAGGCCAAAUUCCAGUUUCAUUCUUUUAAAUCAGAUCACUAGUUUCAAUUUUGUCCAUCAUGUCGCGUUUUCUUAUUCCCUACCAACUCAAAAUUCCCAGUUUUUCUUAUUCCCUGCCAACUUCGCCCCCAUAUUUCAUCCCACACUUCUGUAUCAUUACUGCUGAUGAUAAAUUAUGGCAAAUACCAGCCUGCCAGGAGCCAGGGGUGUGAAAGUCAAAGCAUGAGAGAUUAAAAGGAAAAUGGUCUAAAUCUUAGGAGACUAAUUCAAAUUGCAAUUUUCCCAUCAGACAUUCAAAGUACUAUUCUUUGUUACUUACUAUCUUGAGGAAUGGAUCCCAUAAAUAAAUUGGUAUACAAAGACAUAUUAACAGCCACGUAUCAAGUACAAGUAUCUACCGUUUUUCCGAAUUCCUACUCACAGUUUUAGAACAUUCUAAUUUCAUCCGAAGGUCAUUAACAAAAGUAUUCCACUUUUCUAUAGACAACGGCAUCGGCAAAUUUAGCUUCCUUUUCAAGGCAAUGUGCAACAAAAAAGCCACAAUCUUUUGAUAUAUAUUCACCGCAAAUUCUGUGCAUUGACCUACUGGAAGUUGACUUCGUAAUUGCACGUGUAAUUCGAUAGAGGUAUGUUAUUAACAUUACUUCCAAGGUCUCCAUAUUUUAUCCCUACAGACAAAUUUCCACUCUCCUCUGCCGACUCAAGUGAAAUGGAUCCAAGUCCAUUCAUCCAAUUUUUAGCAGCUUUCCAAUUUGAACCUAAACUGCCCAGAAGAAGGUCUUUUCAAUCCUUGCCUUGAACAACAUAUCAGGACACAAGUUGGCCAAGCUGGAGUCGUUGAAGUGGGCAGGUAAAAAUGAAGUACAAGUGAACCAAUUUAUGAUAUAGCAUUGCAAGGAUCACGCAAGCAUUGCAGAAGUAUGAAUGCUUUACCUAAACAUAGUAACAAUACUAAAUUCUCUAAACUUCUAGAUCAACUUGUUUCGACAACUGAGGCAAACAGGACACCGUUCUUGCACAGUCCAAAGACAAAUUGAGUUCCAUUCAAAGCAAAGUGCACACUGAUUUGUUCAAUUAAUAUGUUCAGCUAGAUGUUAGUCUAUUUAUUUGUUGCAUGGAAAUGUGGAAGAUAUAUAUAGGAAAUUUUCUUCACCUAGUCCUAUUCAGCUGAUUUUAUAUUCCAGACAACCAUUUCGAUUGAUUUAGUCAUCUUGUUUGCCGUGAGCAAUUGCCACAGACUCCCAAUAAAAGGACCAGAAUGAAGAGAAACUUUUUAUUGGCCAAACAUGCAAUCAUUGUCUUACCUCACAGCAUCCAGCAAGUAACUCGCGAUGUGCUUCCUUCUGUUGGAAGGAGUAACCCAAAUGGCCCUUACACCACAACUAGCAGGUACAGCUUCCUUCUCACAUAAGAUCUCUCCAGUGACUGAAUCACACAUUUCCUUGCCUUUGGCAGAGUUAUUCUUUCUCACUAUUUCUCUUUGGAAGCUCACUUCACCAAAUUGGAGAACCACUGAAUUCUCUCUCCCUCCUUUUCCAUUUUGAUCCUGAGACUUUUUUCCUGUUGAGCUUGAAACAAUCCGAUAGGCCUUCUCUAUUGGUUCUGCAACUAGACAGCCAGUAACUCUUCCAGAAGAUACAAACAGAUACACCUGUUGGCAGUAGGAAAUGCAGUUAGAAGCAAGACCAAAUAUGUAAAAGAAAUUGAACUCAAAAUGUGAUGCAAAGAUGUGGUUUACUAUUCCGUCUCUACAAAGUGAAUUAUACUGAGUAAUCUCUGAGCCAUAGUAAGUAGUAUCUGAGCAGAAAACCCAUGUAUAGAAUAUCUGUUGUUGGUCCACCAUGAGUUUGUAAAUACGCAUAUUUUCUAACGGAAAGAGUAAUCUGUAGAAAAUUGGAAAGCUAGAAGAGCAGAUAUGUAGACUACACUGUAAGUAAUCUGCAACUAAGUAACGAGUGUUCUGAACACCUUGCAGUGCUGAUGAAAUAUCCACCCAUCCCCAAGAUCCAUCUCCAUCAUCUUAACAACAUCCUGAACCUGCCACCCACAAAGUCAUCUCGUUAGUGCGAUUAAGUAACUAGCAACCGAGUAGUUUCUAUCAAAACCAACAGAAACUCAAAGUAUUGAUGCUAACCUUGCUUCUUUGAGCAGGAGGGUCAUCGCUUAACACUAUGAUAACACGCCCAGUGUCAAGCGAAGGAACGUAUAUAACUCUUUCAUUUCGCCACCCCUGAAAAUCAUAGUAAUGGAUGUCAGUAAAUACUAAUCCAAGCCAACUUGGAUAAACCUAAGUUGAGUUCUAAGUUGUAAAUCCAAAUUCACCUUAAACUGAAUGCCGUGAGUGUAAUUCUUGUGAAAUGUUUUGUGAACCUUUUCAUCCCCUUCAUCACCUUUGGCAUACUUAAAUCCACAAAUUGUACAAGCGUGCAGCAGAAAAUCAGACUGACCUAAUUCCAAAUAAAACUGUGCGUAUUUUCUCUUUUUAUGAAGAACUUUUCCAGACUUGGGCACCUCCAGUUUUGCUACCAUAUCCACCUCACCAAGUCUGUUUGUUGCUCCAGCUGAAUCGGCAUCACUCUCACUGCAGUUUGGACUCGAAAUUUAUCCAAAAACAUCAGUAUCUGUGCAUAGUAAACAACGACUAAAUAGAUACUUUUUUGCCUUUGCUCUUUAUCUGGGUUGGAAUCCUUUAUUCUAUUAUCACCAUUUUCAGCUACAUGGCUACAGUCAAAAGCACCCAAAAAAAAAACUCAAAAUUCAACGAUGUAAAUACUUAUCCACUUGAGAAAAAUAAGCUAGUUGUCUCUAACUAUUACAUUGUAAAAAUUCCUCAUACAUCAGUAUCACAAUCUUACAAACAAGAGUAAACCCCCAAAAAAAAAGAAAAGGAAAAUUGCAGUUAUCACCAGAAUAUUCCCGGAUUUUCGUAAAAGCAGCUACGAUGUCUACAACAUUAAGAUCAAUAGGGUAAAAUAUAUAUGGACAAGGAAAAGUAAAACCUCAAAACAUAGAAUCCGAUCAAACAUCGGGUAUAAUCGAAUAUUAUUAAUUCAGGGAGAUGGCCCAGUUGGGGUGUUCGGCCGAAGAUCAUAAAUUAAAUUAAAGCUCAAUAGCUCAACGAAAUUUAAAAAAAAAAAAAAAAAAGAAAGGACUAAAACAAUAAGAAUGCAAUACCUGCCUGGGUUUCUAGCUCUGCGCUUGUAAGUAACAGUUAUUUCUGGGUCUUCACAGAUCUCGGCUUCGUUGGCGAAUAUAAUAGCAGAAAUCGGAGAUGCGACUUUAAUUUUGGCCGUAGCUGGAGAGGGCUUGAAAAAUGAACUGAUCUUUGAUUGCAUUCUUUCAGUUUUUAAAUUUUUACUCUUCUUUUUUACUUCUACGCUCAGAUUUGUUUUGGAAACGACGGUUUCGAUGAGCCUUCUGCCCUUAACGACAGAAGCUCUGUUCCUCUGCUCUGGGGUUGGGGAUUCGCUUGAAUUUUUAUUUAUUUCUUUUUUUUUUUUGUAACGAAAAUUUCCCGCCAUUUCACAAGGAAAAGGGUUGCUUGAGGGGUUGAGCGUCCAGGGCCCAAUCUUUGAAUUCAUGGGCUGCUCUCAUGGCCCAAUCCAGUCUAAAUGUUUACUCCUAGCACUAAAACAUUUUCUUUUUAUUAACAUCUCUUAACAUUACUGCAUUUGUAAUGCAAUGUGCAGUGUUCCUUCAGCAAUGAUACUUGUGGUGAUUUGAGUCAGUACAAGUAUCGAGGGCAAUAGCGGAAUUUUCAGAUAAAGUUCUAGUUAAACUUCGUAAAUAUUUGGAAGUGAAAAAGAAAUUUGUCCCAGAUCUUCUUGAGCGAUACUAACUUUUAUCUUAAUAUUAAUAGGAGUGUUCGAAUAUCAGAAAAAAAAAACUGAAAAUUUGGUCGAUCCAAUCUAGAUUGGAUUUCGAAUUUUGGUAAAACGAAAUUCGGUAAAAUCAAAAUAUAUCCAAUUCUAGUGUUUGGUAAAACUGUUUGAAACCAAAUAUUAAAAACGCAUUAUUGAAUUACCAAUUACCAGUUGAAUUUUUUAAAUUUUUACAAUAUGUAUGUGUGUGUGUAUAUAUAUAUUAUUUAUAUCCAUACAUAUUACUAAAUACUAAUUAGUAGUAAAUAGCAACUAAUAAUUACUUAACUACUAACCGAUGACUAUAUAGCACUACUGACAAACUUAUUGAUUAGUUUUAACUAUUGACUAUGAGUAUUUGAUUAUUGAGUACUAACUACUAUGGCUCACUGCAUUACUGAAUGGUUGGAGUUUGGACAGUACAAAUGGCAAGAUACAAUUGGGUGUGUUUAGAUUAACAAGAUUUGAAAUAAAAUAAUUUACUCCAUAACUUCCAAUCAUCUUUUUACUUUACCAAUCACUUUUUUAUUUCACAUGUAUCACAUCACAAAUAGUACUACGGUAAUUAUCUCAAAUAAACCAUCCAAAUAAACUCCUAUCCAAAUCAUCCAAAUGUUCACUUGUUGUUCUUUGUUUACUUAAUGUGACGAUGAAUUGAUAACCGAUGUGCUCGUUUUUUUUUUAUUUGUUAGAAAAAAUAUGGAAUAUUAUUUUAGAGCAAUAAUUUUUUUAGAGAAAAUUUUAAAUAUUUUAACUUAUUAUUGACAUUUCGAAUUUCAGAUAUUACCGCAUUACCGAUUAUGUAGUGGAAAUCCAAUUACCAAUACACAAGAUAUUAAAUAACUCUAACCUAAUUAAGGUUCUAUUUGAUAAUUCAAUUCAGCACUUAAACUUAAUAGAUUGAAAUUUUAAUAUAUUCAGACCAUUUGAUAACCAAAAGUUGAAUAUUUGAAUUAAUUAAAUAGUACUGAUUUUUUUUUUUAUAAAACUUGCUCCCAAAAUUAAGGAAUAAACUAUUCACUUAUUACUGAAUGUGAUAUGCAUUCAAAUAUAUUAAAUUUUAUAUUUAACAAUUCAAUAACUCAAUGCAUUCAAAUUUUGAGUUUUGAAUUUUAUCAAACGCAUCCUAAGACUCUACUCACUAAUUCUACAAAUCCAGCAUACACCGAUGCACAACCAAAAUAAAUUUAAUUUAAACUAGUUAUGUUUAGAUUCAUUUUAAAACAUUGUAUACUUAUACAUCAUAAGUCAUAAUACUAUUAACGUUAAAAAAGGGGGAAAAAAGAAGAAAAAAGUAGCUAACAAAUUAAGUUAUUUUUUAAAUCUAAAAUUUCCUAAUUACAAAGUUUGUUUGGACAAAGAUAAUUUGGUUUGCAAAAUUUAUUCUCACAAAUCCCAAUCACCUUUUUAUCUUCUCAAUCACCUUUUUAUCUCACAUACAUCACAUCAUAAAAAGUGUUACAGUAAAUAUCUCAAAUAAAUCAUCCAAAUAAACUCUUAUCCAACCCAACCUUCCAAACUUGGUUUCUUAAUUACUUGUUUAGCGUCAUUCUUUAUCAGCAUAAGUAGAUAACGUCCCAAGUGAAUUCAGCCAAAAAGUUUCGUCGUCCUCUCACAUGUCCGGCAUGUGGGUUGAGAACAUUAUGCUGCACGCGCAUCGCGCGAUAACGUGCCAGCAGUUUCUUACGAGUUCUCAUUUUCUCCUCUGGCAGUAUCCCAUGUGCCUCCUGCUGCAUCGUCUGCCGCGUCCCUUCUUCCCAAUGCGUUCUCUCUCUCCUUCUUCUGGACAAUGUUAUCCAUUUACUUUAGGGUUAGAUAUACAGAACAACGAAUGCCUCUCCACCGCUUCUCCACUCCGCCACUUUCCUCACCAAAAUUAUACAACCAAGAUCUUCGGUAGCGGUGAGCCUCCUUGCUUUAUGUUGCUCUGUUGCUUGUCCGGCUGCUCUGAACCCUGGUACAAGAGCCUGUUGAGAUAUCCGAUGCUCAGCAGUCCAAAUCCUCUGUCAUCCGUUUGGUUCUCCUCCUCUUCCUUCGUUGUAAGUUUUCUUCUUCCUGUCCGCUGAGGUGCAAUCUUCAUUGUAAGUUUUCUCUAUAAGUUUUAGCCUAAAGUUGAUAUUUUCGUCCUUUGUUUUGCUUGGCCAGCCUAGGAUCUUUUUUUCCUUCUGAAGACCUUCUGUUUUGCUCUCGGGAGAGGUACGAUCUUGCUCUUGCUGAGUUGUGCGUUUAGCUUUCUUUCCUUCUACUUGCACUGUGUUUGUGAACCGUGUCCUUUCCUUGUGGUUUUGUGGUUCCAAUAUCUGGUAUACAAAGGUCUGCUAUUGGCCUGUGUUCUUGAAGAACUCUGUGGUAUCAGCCUCGAAAACAAAAAAAAAAAAAAAAUAUCGCUCUGUCCAUGUUCUCUGGGGAUAUGUAUGGGCUUGGGUUUGUCCAUGCGCAGUUGUGCAUUUGGAAGGUUUGGCUUUUGUUCUUAUCUGAUGCGUUUUGUCCCCCUUCUUCUCAUCUAAUGUUUUGUUCUCUGGAGUGUUGCGUGUAUGUACUGCUUAGGCUAGAUUUAUUCUGUUUUGGGACCCAUCCUUUGGUGUGUAGCUUGUGUUCUGAAAACAAUUAUGGUGCGUGCCUCAAAAAAUUAAAACUCUGCUGUACUUUCUUGCUCUUUUCUUCUGUAUUUUUUGGGCUAGAGUUGUUAUUUUGCCGUUUAUACCAACCACUACAGUUAGGGAUCUGCUUCUUGAGAGAAGUGUGGGAUUAUGUACUGCUUUUUGGUUUUCUAUGUCUAAAGAAUAUGUAUUAAUUACCCUUUGACCUUUGUAGUUAGGCCAACGCACCUAAUUGCCUUACCUCUUUUUUUUUUUUUAGAGACCGAAGUUUUAGAAUGUACUUGCUCUGCUUACCAUUCCUUUCCUGCCAAACCCCUUUUGUAGGUCCCUAAAUUUGGGAUGAACUGAACUUGAUUUAGUCGCAUCUUGCCUUCCAUUUAGCUGUCACAAGUGUAUCUCAACUCUCUACUCCUGACCAUUUUUAGUCAACGAUAGAAAUAGUGUAGCACAUUGCUAUUAUAUGCUAAAAGUUGCUUAGUGAUGUGAUUGCUUGCACAUGUGAAUCAGUGUUUUCAUUCUACUACUUCAAUAUUACUUGAAACAGCACCUUGUACUUGCUUGCAAAACUAAAGAUACUUUCAUAUUGCAGCUAAAGAUCUUGUUACUCGAUCCAUUAGAGUAAUGAUGGAUUCAGGAUGUGAAGAGGUAUGUCACUGGUCCUGCUGCAUUAGGAAUUUGCUCUUUUUUUUUUUCAUUUUUUGCCUUUGCUAAUGCAUUAUGGGCUUUCUACUCCUAUUUGCAGUGCAAGGGAAAUUGUAUUGUUGGAAACUAAAAGCAAAAGGGAAAUGUAGGGAAUAUUAUUGGGAGAUGACUUUAGUAGUGGAAAACCAUCAGCUUUAGUUUGGGGAUUCUCAGUAAAUUCUACCCCAGCAAAUACAAAGCUUAUAGUGCCAGGAAUGUAUUAAUCCCAUGAUCCACUUUUUGGCUUCUUAGGAGUUGAAGGGGGUGAUUUUUAGCUACAUGAUGCUUGUCAAUCAUCCCACUUAUCAAACCUCUAUUAUUUGAUUGAGGCUAGAAUAGUUGGGGCUCAUGGUAACCUUUUAUACUGCAAUCAAAGAAUCGUAACCAUACUCCACCCUCUCUUUGAUUAAUAUACCCUUCUUUCAUUAUUGCAUGUUUUCCCUCACAUUUGCACAAAUAUACAUAGACACACAUUACACCAGUAGUUCUGAUAGCAUUUUUGGCAACUACUAGGUUUGGAUGGUGUGAGGAGGUUGUCUUAUUUAUUCAAUUGUUGAGCUUAUCCCAAAUAUAUAUAUAUAUAUAUAGAUAGAUAGAUAGAUAGAUAGAUAGAUAGAUAGAUAGAUAGAGAACUGUCAUUGGUUUCCUGAUAUACUUUUCCUUUUUCUGUUUUUAAAUGGAUUAAUUGGUCAUCUAGACAUGGUUGUCAACACUAUUGCAGAUGCAAGCAUCUUUGACAGGUUCCUUUUCUUUGUUGACUUGGAGGUUUCUUUACUUUGUUGACUUGGUUUAGGACAAGUCGAGCAUUAGAUAUAUCUUGAACAGAUGUUAUGCACCUGUUUACAUUAGCAGUUGAUCUGAUAUCAAUGAAAAAAUCGGUUUGCAUUUUGGUUGUUGAUUUUGGCAGAAAAUUACCAUUAGCAUUUUGGGUGAAAAGAGAAAGAGAGGAUAUUUUUUUAGGCUAGAAAUUUUUUAGAAUACCGGAUAGUGUAACACAAUCACUUUGUAGUUUUAAGUGGAAAUAGCAAAUCCAUUUUGGAUGAGUUUAUAUAGAUAUAAACAAUUAUAGUUUUAUUUAAACUUAAAGUAGUUACUAAAAAGUCUUUCAGACCCCUUGUUGAAACGAAAUUUCUGUUAUUUGCUUAUAUUGUGUUCUUUCUUUUGUAUUUUGUUUUGUUUUGUUUUGUUUUCCAUUGUGUUUGUUUAUAAGCACUUGUUCUUGGUGUUUUCAAGAUUAAGUUCUUGAUGUGGUUGCCAAAUUUAUAGUUGCCCAUCUUUCUCAACAACAACAACCUAAUUUCCCUGAUCUUGCAUUGCCUUUGCCAGAGUAGAUGCAAGCAAAGGGUGAUGACAAGAUGAAAAUUGGAAUAUGAGAGAGAAGGCACUCAAUUUAUGUCGAGAUGUAACAGAGUAAGAAUUGUUCUCCAUCUAGAAAAAAUCCAAGGAGAAAAAGAGUACUUGCUCCAUAUAUUCUUGACUGGUUCUUUUUGUCUGCAUGUCUUAAAUUCGUUUCCUUCUUUUAAACUGUCCAUCUGGCUAAUGUGCCAUUUUAUCCUCAAUUGUCAGUCGUCCAUUAGUUAUUAAAAAAUAUAUAAUUGAUAUUUUUUCCCUUUCCAUAUAUUCAGAUGAGAGAAGCUGUAAGGGAUGCUGCUCUAACAUUGCCCUACUGGAAUAAUUACAACAAGAUGCAGAAUACAGAUCUGAGGUAUAUCCUCCUGAAUUCUUAAAAUGCCCAGCUCUAUUUUAAGGUUUAUGCACAAGUAUAAGUGAAGUCUAUUUGGAUGAUUUAUUGAAUAUUAAUGUUUGGGCUUUUUUUUUGCUGGGAUUCAGGCUUGGGAGUAGGUUUCAUUAGAACGAACUUGUUGGAUUUAGUCAUUGCUUUAUGAAGGCAAAAGAAGUGGUGCGCAAAUGCUAAAGAAGUUUUUUUCCAAAUGACAAACUUCUACCUGUUGACUAGCUAUAUACUUUUGCUUUUGUCUCUCUUUAAUUCGAGGUUGUUUACUCUACCUCUUAGAUGGGUUGAGGCUAUGAAAUGGUCAGGACAGGAUAAUUACUUAGCAGCUCCUACUGUUCCAUUUACAGUAGACGGUUUGGAGGCUGGAUUACAAAAAAAAGUAUGGACCAUUUGCUCUGUUUGGAUCUCCUAUUUUUGGAGUGUUUUUCAAAAACUAGUUUUUCAAAUACAAUAAAAGUUAUAACAAAGUACUCUAAAAGAUAAUCUAAAAAUUAAUUUAAAAUUUUUUAAAAUUUUACCAAAUAUCUCAAAAUAAAGUGCCAAUAAAAAAUAUUCCAAAAUAUUUUUUAAAAAUAUUUCAAAAUAUACUCUAAAAACUCUGCUACAGCAAAGUUUUUUAAAAACAUCCCCAAAAACAGCUAAUCCAAACGGAGCCAUUGAUUUUUCUCAGAGUACACAAUGCUGGCCACUUGGUUCCUAUGGAUCAGCCAAAAGCAGCAUUGGACAUGAUACAGAGGUGGCUACAAGGCAAACUCUGAAAGGUCCAGCACUCCAGUCUGAGCUCUCCAUUGAGACGCAUGUGAUGGAUUACUUGAAACACAAGCUGAAAUGCUUCAUCACAAUCUUUGUAUUGAUCUAUUAAUUCAACUGCAACGUAUUGAUUUGCGAAUGGAAGUCAAGCAGAUAUAAAAAUAGAUGUAAAUGGAUGUUAAUUGUGGAGCUGAUUUGGUUCAAAGAAUUGGCCGCAGUGUGUCUUAAAAUGCCAUGCCGCAUGGCAUUUCAGUUUUUAAAAAUCAUGACAGCUUGCAUUAUUGAUCCCCAAACUCAGACAAGGAACAACGCACAAGGGAGUUUUCUUAGGAGACCACACAAGGGAAUCCAGUGAAACAAAGCUCACACUGGUGGAGCACCUGGGAAAGUAUAUGGCAUUGAUGGUGAAGAGAUUUGCCCUGUCUCAUUCCUUCACAAAUGAUCACAAAGACAGUAGCUAGCCCCUGCAAAAGCCGUUAUUGGUUGUCAUGCUAUUGUACAUUGUAAUUCCAUUUUUUUGCCUUGUAUCUAUACCAAUGGCACUUUAUCUUUGUCAUUUUGGAGGGUAUGAGAGCAUAAUCCUCGUGUGUAAAUAGUCGACAAAAUUGGUACUCAUUCCAAAGCUGAUCGGUAUUUGUGCAUUCUUUGUUCACAGGAAGUUCCCAAGUAUGCAAUGUAGAAGACUCCGUGAAACAAGGACUCGUUGAUUUAUUCCCCAUCUUAGAAUUUCUUUUGCUAUUAUUAUCUUUAAGAGGAAAGGCAUAGAAAAUUUUACUCCUGCUAUUUUAGCUUCAGAAUUUAUCUUUAGACGGAUACUAAGAAAGUGCACCACAGCAUGGUGAUUACUGAUUUUUUAUUGUUAGAUGAAAUUUGUAUCCGUCCCUUCGUGAUUUCCUUGCUUUCGGUAUAUGUUUGAGUUCUCAUAUUUUUCCUGCUCUUGGUAUAUUUUAGUUCUCAUAUGAAUCACGAAGAUUUGGGAUAGGGUCUACUUUCUACACUAAUAGUCCAAAAUUUAUAUUAAUAUAAAUGUUUUCACUGUUUUGAGAGCAUGAAAAUCUAACUCUGGAUGAUGUUUAUAAGUUUAGGUAGCUGCAUCAUUGGAAAAUUGAUGGAUCUUAUAACUAAACCAUAAUGCAACCUAGCCUUGAGAUAGCAAACGUGAAUGGCAAUUUGGACAAAAUUCUCUAAUAUUCUAAUUUUUUGUUGAGAAUAGCACUUGCUAUUUUUUACAUGGUUACAUACUUAGGAGUCUUUGGCUUUUAUUGAUCAAGGAUGCAGCCAUCUUUAAUAGUUAACCUCCACUGGCUUAGGGGUGCCUUCGUUAUAUUAAAUUUUGCUCUAAUUUUGGUUUAUCUGUACCAUUAAUGGAUCCAUUUUGGAUCAAGUACAAAUCACUUUACUGGACUGGGCAUCUCCAUCUAUUUUUCCCACCGUGCGUAGCACGGUUUAUGCCUCCUAGUUCACUUAAACCCGGUGGUUUACGACUUACUACAAUAAUAAUAAUAAGAAAGAAGAAUAAUAAUAAUAAAAACUUGGGGGAGGUAAAUUGUACCGCAUGUACUAGUAUAACCGUCUUGAGAUUAAAGAGCAGUAGGGAGGACUACAAUAAAACUCUCACUCAGCGCCUGCGGAUCGUAGAUCUGACCACAGCGCCUAAUUCCGAAGGCCUUCCCCUCUUCCACCAAAACAUUUGUACUUUCAUCGAUUUAAUUCGAAGAUAGGUUUCAUCCGAUUUUCAGCAGUGGACGCCGCAUAUUCAAUCCGGUAAGUGCAUCACACUUCCCUUCUAAUUCGUUUCGAUCCACAAGAUCUGUGUUCCCCACAAUGCAAUUCGCCCAUAUGUUUUUUGAGGUCUCUGGUUGUGGCUGGACUGGGGGUUGUUAUCUAUCUGGAAUUGACCCCUAGGGUUACUGAAUUUUUGACCCAUGCUAUAUAUUAUGCCAAGCCUUUUGGACUUUCAAUUGAAGUCUUGAGUGGAAAUUUUAGAUUAUUGUUGCUUCUUUAGGUGUAUAUGAAUCGUUAUUGAUAUAGAAGUUUAGUUUUGAAUCUGUUGCUUCUGUUCAUCGACUAGUAUUUUGUUAUUUUUCUCGAUCUAGCUCCACAUCAUAGCAAUUUAUUCGUUUCGAGUUCAUUAGUUACUUGUUAUUAGAUGUAUACAUAAAUGUCUUCAGGCUUCUUAUUCCAAUCACAUUGAUCUACUUGAUAUGUUUAUUAUUGCUAGCACAAAUCAUGCUAAAUACUGACCAAGGAAUUAAAAAAGAAACCAUACUAACGAGUUCAGUUUGUAAUCGUUCUUUUGUCUUAUGAUUAGGUCACAUUGACCAGCUUAACACAACGCACUGGUCAAAUUGGUCCCGAUUCUUUCAUUCUGGACUCGCCUUGAUUGUCUGCAUAUCAUGAAUCUGUAACCUUGAAGGAUAUCUUGAAUUCUGGCUUGUUUUCAGGUAUAAUUUGAGCUAGCAAUGGAGAAAUCAUGUUCUUUGUUGGUACACUUUGAUAAGGGUACACCGGCCCUCGCGAAUGAGAUUAAGGAAGCCCUUGAAGGGAAUGAUGUUCCAGCAAAGGUUGAUGCCAUGAAAAAGGCUGUAAUGCUUUUAUUGAAUGGGGAGACCCUUCCCCAGCUAUUCAUUACUAUUAUCCGGUAUGUGUUGCCCUCAGAAGAUCACACUAUUCAGAAAUUGCUGCUUCUCUAUCUGGAGAUCAUUGACAAGACCGAUGCUAAGGGGCGACUUCUACCUGAGAUGAUCUUGAUCUGUCAGAACCUGAGGAACAAUCUUCAGCAUCCCAAUGAGUACAUUCGGGGGGUCACACUGAGAUUCCUAUGCCGCCUGAAUGAGGUGGAAAUCAUUGAGCCUUUGAUCCCUUCUGUUCUGUCAAAUUUGGAGCACCGACAUCCAUUUAUCAGAAGGAAUGCUAUUCUUGCUGUGAUGUCAAUUUACAAGCUCCCGCAAGGAGAGCAGCUCUUGGCAGAUGCUCCUGAGAUGAUUGAAAAGGUUCUCACAUCCGAACAGGACCAAUCGGCCAAGAGGAAUGCAUUUCUGAUGCUGUUCAAUUGUGCCCAGGAUCGUGCAAUUAAUUACCUUUUGACUCAUGUUGACAGGGUACCAGACUGGGGAGAGUUGCUUCAGAUGGUAGUCCUGGAGUUGGUCAGGAAAGUCUGUAGAACGAACAAGGCAGAGAAAGGGAAGUACAUUAAGAUUAUUAUCUCUCUGCUAAAUGCCCCUUCUGCUGCUGUUAUUUAUGAAUGUGCUGGAACUCUUGUUUCUUUGUCUUCUGCUCCUACGGCUAUCAGGGCUGCUGCCAAUACCUACUGCCAGCUUCUUCUGUCUCAGAGUGACAACAACGUCAAACUUAUUGUGCUUGAUCGUCUGAAUGAACUCAAAUCAUCUCACAGGGACAUUAUGUUUGAUUUGAUAAUGGAUGUUCUUAGGGCACUUUCAAGCCCGAACCUUGACAUUCGGAGGAAAACACUUGAUAUAGUUCUUGAUUUGAUCACGCCACGAAAUGUCAAUGAGGUUGUUCUCACUCUUAAGAAAGAAGUUGUGAAAACUCAAAGUGGGGAGCUGGAGAAGAAUGGGGAGUACCGUCAAAUGCUCAUUCAAGCCAUUCAUUCCUGUGCUAUAAAAUUCCCAGAAGUUGCAAGCACUGUGGUCCACCUAUUGAUGGAUUUCUUGGGUGACAGCAACGUUGCUUCUGCAAUGGACGUGGUUGUUUUCGUGCGAGAAAUUAUUGAAACAAACCCAAAAUUAAGGGUUUCCAUAGUCACCAGGCUGCUUGACACGUUCUACCAGAUUCGAGCUGCACGGGUUUGUUCUUGUGCUCUUUGGAUUAUUGGAGAAUACUGCUUGUCCCUUUCCGAAGUCGAGAGCGGCAUUGCAACCAUUAAGCAGUGUCUUGGGGACUUACCCUUUUACUCUAUUUCUGAAGAAGGGGAUGCUGCUGAUCCAGCAAAGAAAUCUCAGCAGGUAACUUCCAUCACCGUUUCAUCCAGACGACCAGCUAUCCUUGCUGAUGGGACGUAUGCCACUCAAAGUGCUGCUUCUGAAACUGCUUUCUCCCCUCCAACUGUUGUCCAAGGAUCAUUAACUACUGGAAAUCUGAGAUCUCUCCUCCUCACCGGUGAUUUUUUCCUUGGGGCUGUGAUUGCCUGCACACUGACAAAGCUCGUGCUGAGACUGGAAGAGGUUCAGCCUUCCAGGGUUGAAGUCAAUAAAGCAUCUACAAAUGUACUGUUGAUCAUGGUUUCAAUGCUACAGCUAGGGCAGUCUUCGGUUCUUCCUCAUCCAAUUGAUAAUGAUUCUUAUGAUAGGAUAGUUCUUUGCAUAAGACUGCUGUGUAACACGGGGGAUGAGGUCAGGAAGAUAUGGUUGAAGUCUUGCCGUGAGAGUUUUGUUAAGAUGCUUUCUGAUAAACAGCUACGCGAAACAGAGGAAAUUAAAGCAAAAGCUCAGAUUUCCCAUUCACAGCCAGAUGAUCUGAUUGACUUCUACCACUUGAAGAGUAGAAGGGUAAGCAUUUUGCAUUUGAUUCUAAUUGUGCUUUUGAAGAAUGCAAUUAGUUCAAUUGCUUUGCUAUCUUCAUCAGAUUUUGUCUCAAUUUUGAUCACUUUAUAGUUGUAUACAGGGUUAGGUGAUCUUGUUAUACCUUUAGUAGAUUCUUGAUGAGAAAGUAUUGCCUAUUUUCACCCUUUUCUUUGUUAAGCCAAGUUUGCCCUAAUGUCAAAUAUUUGUGGCUUAAGACUGCCCUUGGGAUUAGAGUGUGAUGAUGUUAUGGAUGGGAUUGCUGGUUUAGUUGAUUGGUCAAACUAAGCAACAUUUUGAUUUUGGAUCUAUCCUGUCUAAAUUUCAGGGUAAUGUAUUGUUAUUGUGCAGAAGUUAUAUUUUCAAUUCCUUAAACAUCAUCAUGGGAAUUGAACUUAAUACUUGCUGGAACUAUGGUGCAUCUUUUUUUAACAAUUUGAGGGAUCUUUCUUAAGUAAGAAGUCACCUGUUUAUGUGUAGCUUUCUUGGGUUCUGAAGGGCAACUUUCAUCGUUUUGGUGGGUAGUUUUAAUUACUUUCAGGGAAUGCAUUUUGGAAGAUUACUUGGUGUUUGCUCCCUCAUUGGUUUCUCUUUUCCAACAUAAGUUUUGAAGGUACAUUAGAGCUCCCUUAGUAGGGAUUGAAGUGUAUUUUGACACUGUUAGCCAUAUUUCAGGGCAUGAGCCAGCUGGAGUUGGAAGAUGAGGUCCAAGAUGAUCUAAAACGUGCCACAGGGGAAUUCAUUAAGGAUGGAGAUGAUGCAAACAGGCUUAACCGUAUUCUUCAGCUUACGGGUUUUAGUGAUCCUGUGUAUGCUGAAGCAUAUGUGACAGUUCACCACUAUGAUAUCGUCCUGGAUGUUACAGUCAUUAAUAGAACUAAGGAGACUCUGCAGAAUUUGUGUUUGGAGUUGGCAACAAUGGGAGAUCUUAAACUAGUUGAGCGGCCACAGAACUACACUCUGGCUCCUGAAUCAAGCAAGCAGAUCAAAGCAAAUAUUAAGGUGUCCUCCACUGAGACGGGUGUCAUAUUUGGGAACAUAGUCUAUGAGACUUCAAAUGUGCUUGAACGAACUGUUGUUGUCCUCAAUGACAUACACAUUGACAUCAUGGACUACAUCUCUCCUGCAGUGUGCAGUGAUGCUGCUUUCAGAACUAUGUGGGCAGAAUUUGAAUGGGAGAACAAGGUAUCUUCAUAUUCACAAGGAUUUUUUUUUUUUACACUUAUUCCUAGCUUUGUUGUUGAAUUAUAUUUGUUAUAUCCCUAGUUUUUCGUGCUGUUGCAUUACCUAAAAAUGUCUCAAGGUGAAUUAGUUAAGAAUGUUAGAAAGGGUGACGAAGUGACAAUAAUUGAAGAUUGCUUGAGUUGUCUGCUAUAUGGAACUGGAGUAUUGUAAUUUAUACAUGCUAAGGCAUUUUGUUGUUUUGGGUAUUGCAAGGUGGUGGUUUUCUCCAAAAUCAUUUUGCUUUUCAACCUAGAGCAAGGAUGAGUAACAAAGUUAGGAAUUCUACUAGCAAUUUGUCAACCACUUUUACAUUUUCAACUAGCAAUUGGUCAACCACUUUGACAAUUUCAAAUCACAAAGAAGAAUAUUCAUAAAUAUCCCAACAACACACUCUCUAUUCUCUAUUUGUUGAAUACAUGCCACAAACUGGAUGACUCUCAACAGAAGUUUACCGGUAAACCCUGUGUAUUUUUUCUCAAGUGUUUACACGAUUAUCUCUGACAAAGUGUUGUCUGUGGCAGGUUGCUGUAAAUACUGUUAUUGAAGAUGAGAAGGAAUUCCUUGACCAUAUUAUUAAGUCAACCAACAUGAAAUGCCUGACUGCACAGUGAGUUUCAGUCACUCCAAUACAUGAUUUUUUUGAUAAAGCUAUUGUGGGUUGAGAUUUGGCAUGUGUGAGGACAAUGGUCAAUCCCUGUGAUGUGCCCACUGUCCCUGCAUUUUGUAGUUGGUUCUUUUGUCAUUCUUCAUGAAGAUGAUGUACUUUGCUUGUCUAAUCAUCAUGCACAGAAUAAAUCACCAGAGCCUUCGUCUUGCUUGUAUCUUACUGUGUGAUGACAUAGUUCAAUUUUGUUGUAAUUUGUAAAACAGCUUUUGGAAUUGGUUGAUCUACAUCAAUCCUAUGAUGUCACUGCCUUAUUAUGAAUUUUGGAUGCUUCUUUCAGGUCAGCUUUGGAAGGUGAGUGUGGAUUCCUUGCCGCUAACCUUUAUGCAAAGAGUGUGUUUGGAGAGGACGCUUUGGUGAAUGUCAGCAUUGAGAAACAGGCAGAUGGUAAGUUGAGUGGUUAUAUUAGAAUAAGAAGCAAGACUCAAGGAAUUGCUCUCAGCCUGGGGGACAAAAUCACUCUUAAGCAGAAGGGAGGUAGCUGAAUUCUGGAUGCACUGUUAGUCUUAGUGCCGUAAUAGUGGUAUGUAACUAUCUGUGGCCAGCCCCCCCCCCCCCCCUCCUCCUCCUCCAGCACAAAAAAAAAAAAAAAAAUUCCCUUCUUUCCCUCUUUUCCCUCUCCCCUUCCAGUCCCCCUUUUAGUAUUUCUUUAUGAAUGUUAGUGCAUCUUCUUUUUUUCAGUUUUUUGUAGUGUGUUCCUUGGAGAAUAUGAAGGGGAAAGAGUAGAACUGUUCUGUGUCAUUUCAUGUUGGCAAGGAGUGCCUUGAAACCAUAAUGAAAAAGUCAUGGGAUUAUCUUUUAAUUUGUGGCUGUACAAUCUUCAGGUUCACAAGUUUGGAUGAAAUCAUUGGGGCUCUUUCAACACAUUUCCUGGCUGCUGCAAAGAGUUAACGCAGAAUAUCAGUGUCAGUGUUCUUGCAUUGAGUCCUUCAAAUGCUCGACACUGUAUUAGAUUGCAUCUAUUUUUGUAGAGAAUAUAUUGGAGAGAAGAAAGAAUGGCGGACUUUGCUACCUUGACUCAUUUAGAGAAUUCAUUGUCAAUUUUCUUUUUAUGCUUUGAGAUCGGAUUGGAUUCAGGAAUUCUUAUAUUUUUCCCCUUCUUUUUUUACUUAAAUUGUAUUUUUUGUCUUUUGGGGGGGAAUGAAUUUGUUACUUUUGUUAUGAAUGCCAUGGUACGAUACAUCUCUAUUUCCAUACGGAGCAAAACUUUGUCAGAAACAAGAAGUAAAAUGUUUCUUAUUGCUUAAAAAAGUGGCCUGUUUGUGUGGUCGAAUUAGGCCUGCAAUCAAAGGUCUAAUUGUCAGACUUUAGUCUUGCGCCUUCUGUUUUGGUUUUCAGCUUGUGUUAAAAUUACCACAGCACGCUGAUGAACGUCAAUCAAUGAUCAACAACAAGGUACAAUCAAGUUUUUCUAUAAUUAUAAGCCCACAGUAUCCUGUAGUAUUCAUGGCAAAUGUAGAUCGAGCAACACGGCACGCCAGAAGAGCAUUUUACUGAUCUAUCCUUUAUAAAGCAAUUAAACUCCUUAGAUGUUUCUGUGCACAUACUAAAUUAACAGCGUCUACGUGACCAAAAAUGAAAUACGCUUUCCCUGUUAAAUCUGACAUGAAUGCUGCUUAUUGUCGGCUGGGGACCUAUGGCUUUGUUUACAACACUUUUAGCCGUACGAUGUCCCUUCUAAUUAGUAGGAAAAGCACGAGGAGAGUGUUACUGUUUUGGUUCUCUUUAUGCAGACAGGAAAAGCUUCAAAAAUGAAAAAAUAACCCCCAUCACAUACAACAUUCCAUUUGCUGAUCUCAUUGCCUUCCCUUCCCUUCCCAUACAAAAGAAUUGAAAAUGGCGGACAACGUAAGAUCAACCGCAGAAGAUAAAUAUGCAGUGGUCACAGAACAAAAUUAUGCCUCGCAUUACAACCAUUCAGUUAUCCACAUUAACUUACAGACGGUGUUCCCUGUCUCUUAAGUCCAUGAAUUAUGACCUGCCAAACCAGAUCAUGUUAUGCUAACAAUUUAUAACAACUACUUGCGGUACAGUACAGCGGCGUAUCAAGUACUUCUUUGAUGACAUUAAUAAAAUGUAGCUUUUGUAAGGUGCAUCA
RNAcentral lists this long non-coding RNA (20666 nucleotides) under Coffea arabica (coffee). RNAcentral describes it as "long non-coding RNA (CARA_LNC003965)". Lineage: Eukaryota; Viridiplantae; Streptophyta; Magnoliopsida; Gentianales; Rubiaceae. The record is from RNAcentral.